Molecule: small nuclear RNA, 20 nt
Filed under: Arabidopsis thaliana (thale cress)
Lineage: Eukaryota; Viridiplantae; Streptophyta; Magnoliopsida; Brassicales; Brassicaceae
Description: snRNA_15651
Source: RNAcentral
CGCCGCCGCCGACGAGUCUU